UGAGCGAUCUGCGUGACGCUCAUAUCCGUCUGGUUGAGUCAGCAACGACCACGACGCCUGGCAUCUUCUUUGUUCUAGCGUUCACUCGUUGCCUGUGUGUCGAAUGACAGACCUUACGAUUCUGUACGGGACGCAGACUGGCAACGCGGAGCGGCUAGCGCUGCGCAUCGCUCGACUGGCACUUUGCCGGGGGUUCGAGUGCGUCUCGUGCCUGCCCGCCGAUGACCUGCCUAUCGCCGAGUGGCCGCACACCGGAGGGCCUGUCGUUCUUAUCUGCUCCAACGCAAAUCAAGGAGAUGCCCCAAACACGUUUCGCCGGUCGUGGGCGUCGCUGCUACAACCCACCGCCGCUGGCAGCAUGGAGGGCCUGCAGUACGCUGUCUUCGGCUUGGGCGACUCUCUGUACCUGAAGUUCAACCACAUGGCCAAGAUGGUGCACAACCGUCUCCGGCAGCUGGGCGGCACACCGAUUGUGAUGCGCGGGCUGGGGGAUGAGAGCGACGCGACGGGCGUGGAGGAGGCAUUGCAGCCCUGGCUCGCGGAGCUGUGGAAAGCACUUGAGAAACCGGGCAAGUGCGGUGCCGCCGCACAUACGCCGGCCUACCCGCAGGAGGACCUUCCUUUCUUUCCUCUUUUCAGCAUUGCACCCGCCUCUGCGUGCGACGAGGCGACAGCUGGCGCGCUGUCUUCUUCCGCUAACGCCGCCAUCGCGCCACUGCCGUAUUUUGCCGACUCUGUGUUCUCCUGCGAGGUGGUGGCGAACAGGCGCCUCACGUCUGCUGCGUGCGAGCAGGUGGUCCAUCACCUGGAGCUUCGCGCUGGCCCUGACACCACGGACGCCGCGGCGUACGAUGUCGGCGAUGCGCUCGGCAUCUACUGCCCGAAUCGCGAAGAGCUAGUAGAGGGGCUGCUGCGCGGACUGCAGCGAGACGGGGCAGAGAUGGUGGUGGUGACCCCAGACGCCUCGCAUGGACUCGUCCGUCAGCCCGCCCGCCCCUUCUUUGGGCGGCCUCUCUCGCUACGUUCGUUGCUUCGUCACUACUUUGACCUUGACGCUGUGGUGUCGCAAGAGUUCUUGUGGAUGCUCGCGCAUGAGGUGACUGGGGAGGACGAGGGCGCGGUCGACGUGCGGGAACGCCUCUACGAGCUGGCGGAUCCGUCCAACGUGAACGAUUACCUUCAGUAUGCGCACCGUGAGAAGCGCAACCUAUGCGAGGUCCUGCACGAUUUCAAGGAUCUUCAUCCAUCUCUGGAGUUGGUCUUGUCGUUUGCGAUGCCGAUGCUGCCGCGCUACUUCUCCAUCGCCUCCGCGCCAGCAAUGGACGGCGCAGGUCGUUUUGACCUCUGCGUAGGGCUGCUGGACUGGCACACGCCACUCAAGCGCCACCGCACCGGGCUCUGCAGCUCCUACCUGGUGGGGGCGUCCCCCGGGACACGACUGAAGUGUUUUGUCUGGCAGGGCUCCCUUGCACUUCCUGCUACACCGACGCCGCUGCUGUGCAUCGCGACGGGGACGGGUGUUGCACCAAUUCGCAGUGUUCUGCGGCAGGUCGCCGGCCUUUCGACGCAGGGCUGGGAUGAUGUGCCGGUGGUGCUUGUAUUUGGAUGCCGACGUGAGGCGGAGGAUUACCUUUACCGCGAGGAGUGGGCGACGCUGAAGGAGAUGGGUGCAUUGCCCACCCUCCGAGUUAUCCCGGCCUUCUCGCGAGACACCGACAAGAAGGUUUACGUGCAGCACAAGCUCGGCCAGCACGCAAGGCUGACGUCGUCCUUUUUGCAGCCCGAGGGCGCCGGUGUCCCGCCGGGUGUGGUGUACGUGUGUGGAAACGCGAAGCAGAUGCCGAAGGACGUGCAGCACACCCUAGAGCAGAUUGUCGAGGCGACCGUGGCAGAGGUGCAGGACGAAGCCGGGGCGGCCGCGCACAUCAGGGCCCUUGGCCGCGUGGGUCGCUAUCAGAUCGACUCGUGGUCGGCGUAGGCGCGAACAUUUUUGUGUGUGCGUGUGUGUGUUACUCUCUUUCAACGGCACGCUGUGCUUCAGUUGAUCAUUCGCCACCAACACCACGGUGCCACCUCG
RNAcentral lists this unclassified non-coding RNA (2077 nucleotides) under Leishmania donovani. RNAcentral's name for it is "gene:LdHU3.34.4090(CDS-product:NADPH-cytochrome_p 450_reductase-like_protein)". The record is from RNAcentral. Lineage: Eukaryota; Euglenozoa; Kinetoplastea; Trypanosomatida; Trypanosomatidae.